This 400-nucleotide ribosomal RNA is filed under the name phytoplankton environmental sample. RNAcentral describes it as "partial small subunit ribosomal RNA". It matches the Rfam family "Eukaryotic small subunit ribosomal RNA", at positions 587 to 992 of the family's 1831-position model. The record is from RNAcentral.
AGCUCCAAUAGCGUAUAUUAAAGUUGUUGCAGUUAAAACGCUCGUAGUCGGAUUUCGGGGCGGGCCGACCGGUCUGCCGAUGGGUAUGCACUGGCCGGCGCGUCCUUCCACCCGGAGACCGCGCCUACUCUUAACUGAGCGGGCGCGGGAGACGGGUCUUUUACUUUGAAAAAAUCAGAGUGUUUCAAGCAGGCAGUCGCUCUUGCAUGGAUUAGCAUGGGAUAAUGAAAUAGGACUCUGGUGCUAUUUUGUUGGUUUCGAACACCGGAGUAAUGAUUAACAGGGACAGUCAGGGGCACUCGUAUUCCGCCGAGAGAGGUGAAAUUCUCAGACCAGCGGAAGACGAACCACUGCGAAAGCAUUUGCCAGGGAUGUUUUCACUGAUCAAGAACGAAAGUAG